GAUGAAGAACGCAGCGAAAUGCGAUACGUAAUGUGAAUUGCAAAUUCAGUGAAUCAUCGAGUCUUUGAACGCACAUUGCACCCCCUGGUAUUCCGGGGGGCAUGCCUGUCCGAGCGUCAUUGCUGCCCUCAAGCACGGCUUGUGUGUUGGGCCCCGUCCUCCGAUCCCGGGGGACGGGCCCGAAAGGCAGCGGCGGCACCGCGUCCGGUCCUCGAGCGUAUGGGGCUUUGUCACCCGCUCUGUAGGCCCGGCCGGCGCUUGCCGAUCAACCCAAAUUUUUUAUCCAGGUUGACCUCGGAUCAGGUAGGGAUACCCGCUGAACUUAAGCAUAUCAAUAAGCGGAGGA
Molecule: unclassified non-coding RNA, 346 nt
Filed under: soil metagenome
Description: partial contains 5.8S ribosomal RNA, internal transcribed spacer 2, and large subunit ribosomal RNA
Rfam family: 5.8S ribosomal RNA (bases 1-119)
Source: RNAcentral